Molecule: long non-coding RNA, 378 nt
Filed under: Ananas comosus (pineapple)
Lineage: Eukaryota; Viridiplantae; Streptophyta; Magnoliopsida; Poales; Bromeliaceae
Description: long non-coding RNA (ACOM_LNC015717)
Source: RNAcentral
UAUGUUGUAAGUUCAAUAAUCUUUUUUUUUUGAGAAUCGGUAGCACGCUACUUGCUUCAUUCAUUGAAUAAGUGAAUUAGACUACAGAGGUGAGGCAACCAUGGCCCCAAAUAGAGAGAAAAAAAAAAUCAUAGGUUGUCUUUCCAAGAAUCAAUCAAAAACUUGAGCCUACGCAUCGCUAAUAUGGGGUCAAACUGGAUGUCACGAAAGAUAAGGUUGUUCCUCGCCUUCCAAAUGAUCUACCAACAUGCGGCCAAUUCAGAUAGACCAUCCCUUCUACUUUGUCCACCAUCCCUUCCCCUUCACCUUUUUCGGACAAUAUGUACAUCGUCACCCAGCUCUCUCGGCUGAACGUAAGUACAAUAAUCUUAAAAACAC